GAUGAAAUCGAAGAGAAUAGAGGUAACUUGAAGAAGAUAAUCGUAAAGAAGCAUCUUUCUUACUCUAUAACUCUCUCUAGAUCUCUCUCUCUCUCUGUGUAUGCUUUUUUUCGUUUCUCUCUAAUUUUAGGGUUAGCCCACAAAAUUUGAAGAUCUGUUUAAUGUUCCUUUGCUUUAUAUUUCUCCUAACCGUUGGGAUUUGAUAACAUUAUAGAUUAAAUCUAACCGUUGGGAAUUUGAUAUUAUAGAGGUAAUCUUAAUUAGAUUCGAUUUCCUUUACUAAUAAUAAUAAUAUCAAUCUAACCAAAAAGGAAAUUUCGAUUUGGUUGAAACCUUUUGUUUUUUUGAUAAUAUAACACGUUUACAAAGAAUCAUCUAUUUUUCUCACACAAUUUUUAUCAAAAAGUAAGAGAGAACAUGAUGGAUGAUGAUGAUCAGUUUAAUAAGGUGAAGAGUUUCAACUCCAUUCCUAAUUUUAUUCAAAGUGGUUUGUUUGUAUACAAAACAGAGUCUGUUCCUAACAUAUGUUGUGGUGGUUGCUACAGGCAAUCUUGGUUCGUGAAGCAGAAGCAAGAUUCUACUGCACACGUUGAUAUCACAGGCUAUCAAUGCUGGUCUCUGUGUCAGAGAGAGAAGUGGCCUGAUGCCCACAACAAGAAAGCAGGAGCACAUAGUUUCGAAGCAAGCAAUGAAACACCAAUCUUAUAUGACAUUUUUGGAAGACAGCAUAUGUUGAGAGAUUCUCAGACAUUUCAUCCUUUCUUUCUCUUGUCUUCUCUCCUUGCAAACUCAUUAGUUCGUUUUGGUUACUUGGUAGUUUUAAUGUUAUUGACUAAAUCAGUUUUAGAUGAUUCUGUUUCACUUUUUAACAAGUCAAUCAACUUAUGGUUUGAAAUAGAGGUUCGUAGCUCUGAAGAAAGAGCUUAUAGACAAGGUUCUGAUGCAUAAAGUGUUCUUGGAAGAUAUGCUAUGAGAGUCUUUUAGUGAUGUCCUCAUAUUUCUUUGCCUAAAUCCCUUCUUCUAAACCGUCAAAAAAUAGCCUUUGUUGGUUGGCCGUUUCAGACGUUACACUCACCAUCAAUUCUCUCUAACGUG
Molecule: long non-coding RNA, 1095 nt
Organism: Arabidopsis thaliana (thale cress)
Lineage: Eukaryota; Viridiplantae; Streptophyta; Magnoliopsida; Brassicales; Brassicaceae
Product: other RNA
Exons: 1
Source: RefSeq